This 487-nucleotide ribosomal RNA is filed under the name uncultured bacterium. RNAcentral describes it as "partial 16S ribosomal RNA". It matches the Rfam family "Bacterial small subunit ribosomal RNA", at positions 355 to 852 of the family's 1533-position model. The record is from RNAcentral.
UGGGGAAUAUUGCACAAUGGGCGCAAGCCUGAUGCAGCGACGCCGCGUGGGGGAUGACGGCCUUCGGGUUGUAAACCUCUUUCAGCAGGGACGAAGCGAAAGUGACGGUACCUGCAGAAGAAGCACCGGCCAACUACGUGCCAGCAGCCGCGGUAAUACGUAGGGUGCGAGCGUUGUCCGGAAUUACUGGGCGUAAAGAGCUCGUAGGUGGUUUGUCGCGUUGUUCGUGAAAACCGGGGGCUUAACCCUCGGCGUGCGGGCGAUACGGGCAGACUAGAGUACUGCAGGGGAGACUGGAAUUCCUGGUGUAGCGGUGGAAUGCGCAGAUAUCAGGAGGAACACCGGUGGCGAAGGCGGGUCUCUGGGCAGUAACUGACGCUGAGGAGCGAAAGCGUGGGGAGCGAACAGGAUUAGAUACCCUGGUAGUCCACGCCGUAAACGGUGGGUACUAGGUGUGGGUUUCCUUCCUUGGGAUCCGUGCCGUAGC